This 1477-nucleotide long non-coding RNA is filed under the name Sus scrofa (pig). RNAcentral's name for it is "lncRNA (ENSSSCG00005033385.1)". Lineage: Eukaryota; Metazoa; Chordata; Mammalia; Artiodactyla; Suidae. The record is from RNAcentral.
CCUUAGGAUGGGGGAACUGGGAGUGGGCACAGGGACUACUUACUCUUCUAAUUUUAAGCAAAUUCUAAGCUGAUCUCCUACAGUGACAGCCCCUCUUCUCCAGCCAAGGUGGAAAUGUUUGAAUUGGUUGGGUUGGUCACUUUGGACAAACAUCCCAGCGAUGACCCUGUGGUUACUCACUCUGGGAUUCCCAGGAAGGCGAGAUUGGAAACCUGUCUCUGAGGCCCUGAAGCUUUUCCUAGUCUUCCCUGGCAACUCUCCAUCCCAAGGAAGUUCCAGAAAGAACCCCAGGGGGGCCUCCCUCCUACGGCAAAGCAGACCUCCCCUUCCACUUCCAGUGCAGCGCUAAGUCAGAACUGCCCAAGGAAGAUUCUGCCCACGUUUAUCUCAAACUGGUCUGCAGGCCCUCGGGCUGGGACCCGUCCCAGGAGCUGCCCAUCUGCAAAGAGGUGCGUGCCACUUCCUGCGGGCCCCUUCCUGCAGGCUUCUUCCUGGCGGGCCCCUUCUGGGGGCACCGGCUACUCCACAUGACUCGGAUCUCAAACCUGGGGCUGCUCAGGGGGCAUGGAGUUGGGGGCAUAGCUGGGGGCGGUGGUGUGGCCGGGGGUGAGGUGUGGCAGCUGGGGAGCCGCGGUUGGUAGAGACGGGGGUCCACACCUGCCCCUGCCGCUGGGUUCCCAGAUGCCUCUGUGUUUUUCACCUGCCCUCACCCCGUCCCUCCAGUGAAAUGCAAAUCAGCAAGUACAUAAUAGAUAAUUAAUAGACUGAUCAGCCGGCAGGGAGGUAAGUAGAUAAAUAAUUUUAAUUAUCUUUGGGUUGCCCAUAAAUUCCCGCACUGCCUUUUCAUUAAACUCUGUUUACAGGCGUCGUCUAUACUGCAUAUCAUUUUGUGGAUGCCUCCCCCACUUCCUUAGUGGCUCCCACCAGAUCUGACCUGGGGGGGGAUGUGUGGGUCGUGGCGGGUUCUUUCCUCAGGGCCGGGCUCUGGCACAGGUGGCAGAAAGCUCUGCCUGGGGAGCGGGGCUGGGUGGCAGCAGGCAGACCACGCUCAGUGCCCCGACGCAGCCACAGCCUAUAUUUAGGCAACUCGGGAAGCUUUAUUAUGCUUGGCACCUGCGCUGAAGGUCUGAGCUCAUUGUCCUCCCCAGGGACGGCUUCGGCCUAUUAAUAGCCUUGGCUGAGGUUUCCUUAUUGCUCCGAAGGCCAAGAGAGAAAGUGGGUUAAUAAAUAUAAAAGAAAACUCUCUCCUCAGUGCCCCGACGCAGCCACAGCCUAUAUUUAGGCAACUCGGGAAGCUUUAUUAUGCUUGGCACCUGCGCUGAAGGUCUGAGCUCAUUGUCCUCCCCAGGGACGGCUUCGGCCUAUUAAUAGCCUUGGCUGAGGUUUCCUUAUUGCUCCGAAGGCCAAGAGAGAAAGUGGGUUAAUAAAUAUAAAAGAAAACUCUCUCAAGAGGGCCUGGGGCCAAACUCUCUCCCAG